GUCUGCUACCCAAUUCUGGGUCGGAAAGUUAGGUGAGCUGUGAUUACCGUCCAACCCCUUUCGUCCCCAAAGCCCCUCCGAUUAAAGUUUUGCGCAUUGGAGACCACCCAGACGUAGCGUUGGGCGGGAGGACAGUCGGGGACACGGCCCAGGUCCCUUUCUUUGUCAUGAAGAACACAGAAAUGAGGGUUUAUAAACCUUGCUAGACACACUGAAUAGACCAGAAAACAAAGGAUGCGUGCUGCAUCUUGAAGAGAUCACUUGAAGAAAAUGCUGCCUCAAAAAAGUGUGGGUCCUUCACUGGCUCAUUGCAAAAAAGAUUGUGGAAAGAUAUACACCAAUGGUGGGUCUAUGGGCAACUCCAGUGUCCGAGGCACCCGGUCAAAAGCAGAGCUCCAAGAGCUUAUGGACAGCUUGCAGAGAAGGAAGGCAGCUGUGGAAGCCAGUAUACGGGCUAAUGCAGAGCGCCACCCCAAGCUCAGCCUGUCCUUUCCACCUAGUCCUCAUUCCAUCAAAUCACUCCUUCAAGAGCAUCCGUCCCUCUCAGUUCGAAUCCCUUCCUCCUACAGCCUCAGUAUGCCUCCUUCCCCUCGUCAUUCAGCCUGCCCGACAAGCCCAGUCCACACCCACACUCGUACCCACCACCAAUCGCAGGACAACCUUUCACUCUUUCAGUUGUUUGAUAGCCACCGUCCCAACACAGCUGGCUCCAGUCUCUCCAUGUGGAAUGGUACCUCCUACAUGUCGGAUGCUUUUAAUGUAUACCAUCGUGGCCCUAGUGGAGCUGCAAGCAUGCCCUCCAGUCCUAGGCUGGGCCGAAAACUUCUAGCACGAGACGGAGAUGCCAUUGAUGAUCCUCCCCCUCGCCAGAGGAAAUAUUCCACUGGUUCUUUGAAUGAUUUAGGAGGACACAGUCAUUCCCUUCCCAGGCUGUAUCGAGGGGAUGCUCCUUCUCUCUCUCUGCCCCCUUGGCGCUCAUCCAGGGCAAGAUGCAGCCUUCCAUCUCUUGACUGCCCUCCAGAUGUGACUGUUACUUCCCUGAGCAAUGAUCUCCGCUUUGAGAGGACGCUCUCAUUUGGGAAAGGAGUAGUAAGCCCAGGGAAGGGCCUGUGGAGGGGCAGCAUCAGUUCUCUAAGCAGCAAGAACGAGCUUCAAGAUUACCAUCAAAGACAGAGAGACGAGAGGUUACGAGAACAGGAAGUGGAGAGACUGGAGCGUCAGCGUCUGGAAACCAUAUUGAGCCUGUGCUCUGAACUUGGCAGCACUGAAUCAAGUUGUCCAGAACACAACUCUGGUGUCUGUGCUAUAUCUGACCUGCAGAAAAUCAAUCACGAGCUGGAGAAGCUGCAGGUUUCGGAUGAUGAGUCUGAGUUCUCUGACUUGCUUGUCGUAGCUGCUCCAGAGGAUGGCUCGGUGGAUAAGGGUAGAGGAGACAGACGGGUACAGCCCACCAACAUCCUGCUAACCUCUACAUCAGAAGACAUGCAGAUUAAACAGGAAGUGUCCCUUUUAGAGGAGGAGAGGAUUCAAGUCCUCAACAACAUUGAAGAGCUGGAGCAGAAGAUCAAGGAUUUAGACACACAGUUGAAUGAGUCUGUCGGAGAGAUGGAGGUAGAGAGGGCCCUGUUGGAAGGCGAGCAUAAUGAAGAGCUUACUCUCCUGCAAGCAGAUAGGGAGUCACUAAAAAAGCUAUAUGAACAGAUGAGCAAAAUGGAGAAAACCACAAAUACUGAUACAACUGACAAGGACAAGGUACUGUUGGAGACUGAGAAAGUUAAAGUAGAGAAGCUAGCAGAGCUGGUCUUGGAGCAGAAGAGUCAGCUGGACUCAUGUCCUGAAGCGCUGAAGGAACAGCUUCAGAGUCAGCUCUCCAGGGACACACUGAUGUUGGAGACAGAGAUGAAGCGUUUUGAGGAUCUUGAGUUUCAGCAGCUAGAAAAAGAGAGCAGUCAGGCUGAAGAGAAAGAGACACAGAUCCAGCAACUUCUCAGAGAAAUUGCUGAGUACCAGCACAGCUUAGUCACACGCAAGGAAAGACUCCUGACCUUGAAGAAACAGUCCACUCAGAUUACCCAGCAGGCUCAGCGGGAGAAGGAGAACUUCCUGAAAGAGAAAAGCAAUCUGCAGCUCAUGUUACAAAGGGAGCGAGAGAAUCUUUCCACUCUGGAGAGGAAGUAUGCAGAACUCACAGGUGGCCAGACCUUUCCUCUGAAUUCUGUGUCUAUGAAAGAGCAUCUUCGCUCCAUGGAGGUAAGAAGGAGGAGUAAUAGUAAUAAGGAAGGUGGGCCUAUGCUGAAUGACAGCAGUGUGUCCCAUAAAAGGCUGAGACACAGUUCUGGAAGCUUCUGUAGUUCCACAUUGGACCACAGUCUAUACCCUAAGUCCCAUCUUCCCCUGUCUCAGAGUACCAGCUGUGGUAACAUGCCCCCUCAUGCUCUCUCGCUCACCUCAAGAGACUUAGACACGCGCUGCCUGCUCAAGGUUGGUAACCCGUAUUUGAAUGACGGCAGGCAAAGGCUGAGUGAGAUAAGCAGCAGGACUGUAUCUGAGUCAAAUGUCUACUUGAAAACUUUUCACCACUUGGAAAAUGGUGCCAAGUUUGAUACCAUCAGUGUGGAGAGUUCAGAUAGCUUGGAGACAAGCAUCUCAGCCUGUUCUCCUGACAACAUCUCCAGUGCCAGCAUAUCUAAUGUGGUUAAGAUUGAGGAGAUGGGGCGUCUGCUCAGAGAGGCACAGGCAGAGAAGAACAGACUCCUGGAACACAGGGAGAGAGAAAUUGAGCAGCGCCGACAGGCUCUAGAGGAGGAGAGAAGGAGGCGAGAGGAGCUGGAAAGGCGACUUAAGGAGGAGACCAACAUAAGGCAGAAACUUAUCGAAAGGGAGGUAAAGCUCCGGGAGAAGCAAAGAACACAGUCUCGUCCAUUGACACGUUACCUUCCGGUUAGGAGGGAUGACUUUGACCUACGUAGUCACAUUGAGGCAGCAGGUCAUCAUCCUGAAACCUGCUUUCACCUCGUUAUCACUGACAAGACAUGCCGAGGCUUUCUAGUCAAGAUGGGGGGGAAAAUAAAGACCUGGAAAAAGCGCUGGUUUGUUUUUGACCGAAAUCGCAGGACCCUGGCAUACUAUGCAGAUAAGCAUGAGGCAAAAAAAAAGGGUGUCAUCUACUUCCAGGCUAUUGAGGAAGUGUAUUAUGAUCAUCUUAAGAAUGCACAUAAGACAGGCUGGUGGCUGGUGCACAAGAAGUUAAGAGCACUCCUCCUGCGACUGCUGCUGUGGUGCUGAAGAGACAGCUCCACUUCAGCACCACCAGUGUUUUGGACAGCCGGAGAGUGCGUGGCCACGGGGCAGAGCCACCGACACACACACGCCUGGCGGCUAAUUAACAGCACGGCAAUUCUCCACCAUCCAGCAGCCAACGGGAGAGUAUAAAAGGGCAAUCCUCCGCUCUCAAAGGGAGAGAGAGCCCCCUAGGGUUUCUAGCCAUGGUGGUUGUGUUGGAGUGGUGAUGGAGUACAAGAUCACUACAACAAAUGUGGCCACCUUCACUCUCUCCAAAGACUACUAAAAUUAACAGAGAAAUUACAAUGCUGUGAGUACAUCAGAACUUCAGAAUCCUUUCACGGUUCAACUGAAUUCAUCAUAAAACAGACAUAAUGAAGGCGCUAAGGCUGUUUUUGUGGAUAUAGAGUAUCCUGUAGUCAAGCAAGCUCAUUUAGGGUGAAAUGAGAAUCGUCAUCGUCAAAGAAAUAUUUACAAUAGGUGUGAAAUGGAUGUCAAUGGGUCAUCAUUGUCAGUGUCGCUGGGAGAAUCUGAUACCCAGUCAGGUUUAGGAUACAAGUCAGGUUUGUCAUCAUAGGGAUAGUAAUCAGUCUUUGUCAACAUCAGCGUUUGGUCAUUAGUGAUUUCAACGAGCGUGAGAGACUGCUCUGAACAAGAGAAACAAUACAAGUCAAAAUGAUCAAGACAAGAAUAAUUAUUGCACCUAUUGGUAGACAGACUGUUAAUAUCCACGAGCCCUAUCCCCCGAGUACUGAGUUCAGCCAAUCAAACCCCAUCUCACUAGUCUGUGGAGGGUUGCGUAUUGCAGACCACAUGUGUUCAAUGAUAGAAUAACCAUUAUGUGUCUGCAUGACAAGGGGACAUGUGACGUUGUGUGGGUAGCACUGUUGCCAAUGAUUCUUAUGACCAAAGGUGAUACAGAACGGUUUACAGAGGUGGCCACUAUCUUGGCAUAUGGGCUUUUAACUACUAAUUGUCGUCCAAUCUGCAGCAGUAGUCUACUAAAGAACUUCGCGGGCUUAUGUGGGACCUAUAGAAAUCACGUCGCCUUAGGCACUUAGUCUCAUCACCACGAUCAGCUAAAUACCAAAUUUUGGUAAAAGUGUGUGUGUCAUGCAUUCUUUCUGCUGCAACGAUGUGAUUGGCGUGACUGAUCAUUAAGUCUUCCACCGAAUAAACUACAAUAUCGCGCUUUGGUUUAUCUUUCCUGUUUAAGGGUCAACCCCCCGGACCCCCAGUGUUGUCAGGAAUGGUCCCAGUGAUUUGUGAGUUAAUUUCUAUGACAGGGCUUACUAACAGAUACCACCUAUACCAGGAGAAGGGUGGACGAUUAGGAAUAGGUUUGUAUGUAUGAGUGGAUGUGCAGGUCAACAUUUAAUGAUUUGUUUCUAGUCUGCAACAGUAGUCUGUGGUCAGGGAGCUUUGGGCGUAAGAGGUACGGUAGCAAAGUCACGUCGUCUAACCUCUGUCCUGGUCACAUGGCUAUAUACUGUACUAAGCACUAAUGAAGUUCUCUAAUGAAGUUAAUAAAGUCCUCCUAAGACUACGGUUUCCGUGUCGUCAACAUUUUCUCCAAAAACUACAUGUCCGUGAUUUCGCAGGCUUCUAGAUACCACUCGGUGUCUUGUGUUGUGUAACCACAAGGAACUGGUGUGAGAAUGUGUGUUUGAGUGCAGUGUGUCAUGUGUGUGGGUAUGUAUAUGCAAAUCGUUGCUCGUGAGCGUUGGUCCUCCUAGAGACUGCUUGAUAGAGAAUCACGUUCUAGUCUUCCUGUCGAAGUCCUGUCUUCUCCAGCUCAAUGCUUGGCUCUGGCACCCUCCUGUAGUGGCUUGCACGCAUCCAUGUGGCUCUCUGGUUGACUUUCACUGCUGAAUGAGUGACAAAGAGAACCUGGAAUGGCCCAGACCACCGUGGCUUUUUCCACCUGGUCCUGCGGAAGUCCUUGAUCACGAUCCACUCUCCGGGCUUCAGAUCAUGCAGCGGACCUGUGGCUGGAGCUGGAAGUGUUGCCUUUACCUGCUUAUGGAUAGAGUGCAGAGCAGAGGACAGGGUUGCACAGUAAUUUAAAAUUGCAUCAUCACAUGCUGCAGCGUCAGGAAAAGGAGCUGUCACAGGUCCAAUUCCUGUGUGUGGAGGUCUCCCAAACAGUAUCCCAAAGGGGCUAAGACCAUCCUAAGCUUGUUUCAGAAUAGCAUUUGCUCAGUCUGUUUUUUAGUGUCCUAUUUUCUUUCUCUACCACCCCACCACUAGCUAGAUGAUAUGCAGCAUGAUAUGCUGCUUUAAAUCAAUAGCCAAAUAUUCACCCACCUACUUAAGGGCAUGGCUCACAAAAGUUUUGCCAUUAUCACUGGAGAGUAUCAUUAUCACUACCGCGUCUGAGUCCUGUUUGAACAUAGGGAUGUGGCCUUCUCUACCUUCAAACCUCAACCCAUGUUAUGAGUUGCGCAAACAACAUAAACAAUUUUUUUUUUAGAGUAAUUAGAGAAACCAAUGCUUUAUCACAACUAUCAUUCCCCCUUUUGACGCAUGGUCCUGCCAUGCGUCAACUUUGAAGACAAGGACAGCCCUGGGGGCACUGCCAAACUCCGUCAACAACCGUGCAGCCUGGUUUGCGCCACACAGCCUUUUCCUCAUCUGCGUAGCCCAUGCUUGGAGGUCUGAAAGCUGUAAAGAAGGAUUGAUUAUUUUCUUUUGAGUUUUGGGUCCAUAGAUGCAGCUGCUUGCUUUGCUGCACUGUCCGCUCGAGUGUUUCCUAGGAAAACAUGGUCUAAUUUGUUAGUGUGUGCAUCACAUUUGCAUACUGCAAUAGUUUUGGGGAGUAGGACUGCGUCCAGCAGCUCAGAGACUAGUUUGUGGUGGGAAAUGUGUGUUCCUGUGUCACAUUUCAAGACGUAAGGAAGAUAGGACAGAUGAAAGUGCAGUAGACAGUUUUAUUAAAGAGAGACACAGGCAGAUAAAUCCAAAAUUGUAAUCCAAAAACAUAAUCCAAAAACAUGCAAAAGGUCAGACGAUCGGCAAACAGGCAUAAACGGGGCAAGGCAGGAAUCAAGGUCUCGGUCACGGAAAACAGGGUUGAUAUACAAAACAAGAAAAACAUGAACAAUAGCGCAGGACUGGGAGCGGAGAAACCAGCAUGGAUUAAAUCUAAUGUUUAAUCUAAAUAACUCUAACAAGGAAUCUGACUAUGACUAUGACUAUGGUUAAGUAUGGUAAGGAAUCUAAACUAAUCUACUAUACCAUAAUAUUCCACGCCAUGUGCUGGGAGACGCGCGGUAUAUAUACAAGCACAAUCAGCGUGUUGACUGCUAACGGCUGACAGCAAUCUAGACACAUGCUAAACAACAGCCAACGACAGAACUGGGAGGAGAUAUAACAGAAACACAGUACACAAUGUCACGGUUGUCAACAAACGAGAAGCAGGUGCUCGUGCACCUUGCUCGGGCACGCGCACCCACAUGCUCUCCUGCACGCUGCUUAAAGGAGAAACCAUGACAUCCUGAACUCGUCAGGAAGUUCCUGUGUUUCCAAAUUGUCCCCAAAUCAUGUAGUACCUCAAAGGCAUAUCUACUGUCUGUGUAGGUAUUUACUGACUGUCCCUCAGCAUGUCUUCAUGCCUCUAUGAGGGCAUACAGUUCAGCUGCUUGUGUUGAAAGGUUUGAGGGGAGACUUCCUGACAGACCAUCUCAUGUGCGGUCACUACUGCAUAGCCCACUCGAUUUUUACCGGUAUCUGGGUCAUGUGACGCUGACCCGUCCACAAAUAGGAUCAGAUCUGAGUUUUCCAAUAGAACAUCUUUCAGGUUGACUCUAGGAGAGCAGAGUUUGUUAGUCAGUACAACACAAUCAUGUGGUUCCCCAUCUCCCUCUGUUGGAAGAAGAGUAGCAGGGUUAAGGACAGUACAUCGUUUUAUAGAGACAUUCGGCAUGUCUAGCAGUAUAGUGUUAUGGUGCAGCCACCAUUGGGUGGAAAGGUGUGAGGUUUUCUGUUCAAGUAGGAGUAACAACACCUCAUGUGGAACCAAGAGGUUCAAUUCUGAGUAACCUACCAGGUUUCUGGAUGACACCAAAGCUUUCUCAGCUGCUGCUACUGCACGUACACACGGGGGAAACUCUGCAGUGACUGGAUCCAACUUACCUGAGAAUGAGCUGUCCAGCCUGUUGCAUAUGCCAUCUCUCUGAGUGAUGCUUGUAGACUGGAAUAGUUUAUAAUGAAAGUCCUGCGAUACAAAAACAUACCUAGGAAAGAGAGAACUUGUUUCUUCGUCAGAGGCUUGGGAAUCUUCUGGAUUGCAGAUACUUUGUCAGCUGUGAGUUUCUUUCCCUUUGCAGAUAUGUCAUGACCCAAUAAAUCUCACUUUUUUUGUACAUACUGUAAUUUGGAGAUAUUGGCUUUGUGGCCUUCUUAGGCAAAAUGCUGCAACAAUUUAAUGGUGUCAGUUUCACACUGUGCCCUGGAGAAAGUGGUAGAGGUGUUAAGCUGUCCUUUAGCAUUUGGUUGUAUAUCGUUAGUGACUCUCAAUACCCUUAACACAAGCAAUUGAAAGUGUAAGGACCUCCGUGAAAUACAAAUGCAAACUGAAACUGAUUGUCUUUAUCAAGAGAUAUACUGAAAAAACACAUUAACUAAAUCUACAACUGAAAACCAUUCGCUAUUUGCUGGAACCUGGCUUAAUAUAGUGUAAGAAUUUGGCACAUCUGGAGCUCUCUGUUUGAUUGCUGCAUUAACUGCUUGCAAAUCUUGUACAAAUCUCCAUUCAUCAGGUUGUGGGGGUUUUCUUGCUUUCUUUACCGGAAAUAUUGCGCACUGACAAAUCAGGGCAGGGAACAAUGAUGUUGGCUCAAAUUUAGCCUAUUACCCAAAAACACUUAAAAUUCAACAUAUAAGCCAAUACUCACAUCUACCUCUGAGCCCAGUUGGAGAUAGAAAAAAAUACACCAGCCAUGAGUGAGAAGAAGCAAGGGUCCAGCUUUAUUGUUCCAUUCCACCACACGAGAUCCACACCGAUGAGAAUUCUCAGAAGUGAUUCCCAUACCCUGAGCUUAAGCUCCAGUAUUUAUACUGUACUUACACAGUAAAUAACCCAUAUGUUUCAAGAAGACUAUGAUCUCACUACUAAUAGGGUUAAAAAAGAGCUCAUCUACCUUACUCUUAUGUUCCAGAAAAGGGCUAUUACACAUAGAAUCAAAACCAGGGGUUUCAAUUUACACAUAAAAUCAGAACCCAGGGAUUUCUAAUAACCCAGAAAGUCAAAACCAGAGAGUUUCAGUUAUCCAGAGAACAAAAACCAGAGAUUUUCAGUUACCCAGAGAAUCAAAACCAGAGAAUUUCAGUUACCCAGAGAACCGAAACCAGAGAAUUUGAAUUACCCGUAAAAUAGAAAGUGGACAAGACUAAACAAUCUAGAGUGACCUUGGUCUUAUUGUUAUCUCGCGGGCGGGCAGCUUGACUCAGCCACCCUUAUAAAUGGCUCCUCAUGGUUCUUUCUUAAAAUUAAGGCCUUCCUUGCAAGACAAGAACCUUCACCAUUUGAGUCAUGAGUAAGUUUACAUUUUCCUGUAUUUCUAGUUUAUAAUUUAUUUUCAUAUUUGCUCUAUAUUUCUUAUUUUAUAUAUAUAUUUAUACUACUUGAAAAGCGGUUUACUGUACUUCCAACUUCUUAAUAUCAUUACAGUUCUACUGUCCUGCAUAUCCUACUAUUCUGUUUUUUAUAAAGAGUAUAUAUAUUAUUAUUAUAAGAUAUUACCCUUUAAAUAUCUUAAUAUUCCUUUUUAUUAUUCUUAUAAAGUUAUUGUAGUAUGUGUGUGAGAGGGAGAGUGUGUGUGUGUGUGUGUGUGUGUGUGU
This is an RNA transcript of Ictalurus punctatus (channel catfish), 9123 nucleotides long. It is a transcript of the gene named pleckstrin homology-like domain, family B, member 2a, with no coding region annotated. The transcript has 19 exons. The record is from RefSeq and is a predicted model, not a curated record. Lineage: Eukaryota; Metazoa; Chordata; Actinopteri; Siluriformes; Ictaluridae.